GCGCUUGUAGCUCAGUUGGAUAGAGCACUUGGCUACGAACUAAGGGGUCGGGAGUUCGAAUCUCUCCAAGCGCA
RNAcentral lists this transfer RNA (74 nucleotides) under Psychrobacter immobilis. RNAcentral describes it as "tRNA-Arg". It matches the Rfam family "tRNA". Rfam says of the family: Transfer RNA (tRNA) molecules are approximately 80 nucleotides in length. Their secondary structure includes four short double-helical elements and three loops (D, anti-codon, and T loops). Lineage: Bacteria; Pseudomonadati; Pseudomonadota; Gammaproteobacteria; Moraxellales; Moraxellaceae. RNAcentral also lists the same sequence under 5 other names. The record is from RNAcentral.